CCUUAUACGAUGAUUAUUCACGAUGAGUGUCCACACAGAUUGAUACGGUUUAUGUAAAGAGACGAUACUGGGUCUGUAGCUCAGGUGGUUAGGGCGUUCGCCUGAUAAGCGAGAGGUCGGUGGUUCAAGUCCACUCAGACCCACCAAUUUUCUUCCCGGGAGAUUGGCAGGAGUAUCGACACCUUGAUGGGGCUAUAGCUCAGCUGGGAGAGCGCCUGCCUUGCACGCAGGAGGUCAGCAGUUCGAUCCUGCUUAGCUCCACCAUCUUUAAGCAUUCUUACGAGUGUGUUUAAAAAUGGUUCUUUAAUGAAUCUAGCUCUUUAACAAUUUGGAAAGCUGACAAAGUAAUCUUUAUGAUUACUUGUAAAGUUCUCAAAGUAUUCAUGUAUUUGAAUACAACUAAUAACACAUUCAAGUGUUCUUGGCUUUUUGUUUUCACUUUUUAUAAAAAAGUAAAUAAAAAGAUAUUUGAGUCCGGCAAAAUCGAAUGUCUCUCGCUCAUUCAAAUAAUGAGAGACAACUUUGGUUGUUUAACGUCAAUUCGAAACUCCUUCGGGUUGUAU
RNAcentral lists this unclassified non-coding RNA (563 nucleotides) under Vibrio proteolyticus. RNAcentral's name for it is "partial 16S-23S ribosomal RNA intergenic spacer". The stretch from base 189 to 261 matches the Rfam family "tRNA". The record is from RNAcentral. Lineage: Bacteria; Pseudomonadati; Pseudomonadota; Gammaproteobacteria; Vibrionales; Vibrionaceae.